GUGGACGUAGCUCAGUGGUAGAACACUUGCCUAGCAUAUGAGGUCCUGGGUUCAACCCCCAGCGCUACA
RNAcentral lists this transfer RNA (69 nucleotides) under Marmota monax (woodchuck). RNAcentral's name for it is "tRNA.Leu". The record is from RNAcentral. Lineage: Eukaryota; Metazoa; Chordata; Mammalia; Rodentia; Sciuridae.